CCUCUCUCUACAGACACGGGCAGAGACUGCAAACUCCUCUCACCCACACCUCUUCAUGAGAAAUCAAGAAAGAAGAAAAGAGAGAGAAAGUACAAUGCCCUCCCGUGCAUAACACCCCUCAAGACACAGAGAAAUGAGCAAGCACUGUUUCCCUCACUGUCCAGCUCCACAAGGCGAGAAUCACUACCAUACAUGAUCAAAUACUGCGGCUGGCUGACGGCACAAACACUUCUACCCAACACCUGCUUCCUGUGAAACUUUGGGUAACCACCAGAGGCAAUUUUACUGAAACUCAUUUAUUGUCUCCCUGUGCUCACAUAACAGAUAACAUAAAAUUUUCUAUUUUUUUAGUGAGAUAAUAUGAAAUUGAUAUAUUUCAAAAUAUCCUUGGGCUGAAAAUAUAUGAACAAUAAAACAUUAUCAAAAUGGA
This is a non-coding RNA of Callithrix jacchus (white-tufted-ear marmoset), 430 nucleotides long. The record is from RefSeq and is a predicted model, not a curated record. NCBI's taxonomy places the organism in Eukaryota, Metazoa, Chordata, Mammalia, Primates, Cebidae.